CGUGCUUAAACAUGCAAGUCGAACGAUGAAGCCCUUCGGGGUGGAUUAGUGGCGAACGGGUGAGUAACACGUGGGCAAUCUGCCCUUCACUCUGGGACAAGCCCUGGAAACGGGGUCUAAUACCGGAUAACACCGGCUUCCGCAUGGGAGCUGGUUAAAAGCUCCGGCGGUGAAGGAUGAGCCCGCGGCCUAUCAGCUUGUUGGUGGGGUAAUGGCCUACCAAGGCGACGACGGGUAGCCGGCCUGAGAGGGCGACCGGCCACACUGGGACUGAGACACGGCCCAGACUCCUACGGGAGGCAGCAGUGGGGAAUAUUGCACAAUGGGCGAAAGCCUGAUGCAGCGACGCCGCGUGAGGGAUGACGGCCUUCGGGUUGUAAACCUCUUUCAGCAGGGAAGAAGCGAAAGUGACGGUACCUGCAGAAGAAGCGCCGGCUAACUACGUGCCAGCAGCCGCGGUAAUACGUAGGGCGCAAGCGUUGUCCGGAAUUAUUGGGCGUAAAGAGCUCGUAGGCGGCUUGUCACGUCGGGUGUGAAAGCCCGGGGCUUAACCCCGGGUCUGCAUCCGAUACGGGCAGGCUAGAGUGUGGUAGGGGAGAUCGGAAUUCCUGGUGUAGCGGUGAAAUGCGCAGAUAUCAGGAGGAACACCGGUGGCGAAGGCGGAUCUCUGGGCCAUUACUGACGCUGAGGAGCGAAAGCGUGGGGAGCGAACAGGAUUAGAUACCCUGGUAGUCCACGCCGUAAACGUUGGGAACUAGGUGUUGGCGACAUUCCACGUCGUCGGUGCCGC
RNAcentral lists this ribosomal RNA (790 nucleotides) under soil bacterium SI09. RNAcentral's name for it is "bacterial SSU rRNA". It matches the Rfam family "Bacterial small subunit ribosomal RNA", at positions 43 to 849 of the family's 1533-position model. The record is from RNAcentral.